RNAcentral lists this ribosomal RNA (492 nucleotides) under uncultured bacterium. RNAcentral's name for it is "partial 16S ribosomal RNA". It matches the Rfam family "Bacterial small subunit ribosomal RNA", at positions 29 to 507 of the family's 1533-position model. The record is from RNAcentral.
AGUGAACGCUGGCGGUAGGCCUAACACAUGCAAGUCGAACGGCAGCACAGUAAGAGCUUGCUCUUACGGGUGGCGAGUGGCGGACGGGUGAGGAAUACAUCGGAAUCUACUUUUUCGUGGGGGAUAACGUAGGGAAACUUACGCUAAUACCGCAUACGACCUACGGGUGAAAGCAGGGGAUCUUCGGACCUUGCGCGAUUGAAUGAGCCGAUGUCGGGUUAGCUAGUUGGCGGGGUAAAGGCCCACCAAGGCGACGAUCCGUAGCUGGUCUGUGAGGCUGAUCAGCCACACUGGAACGGAGACACGGUCCAGACUCCUACGGGAGGCAGCAGUGGGGAAUAUUGGACAAUGGGCGCAAGCCUGAUCCAGCCAUACCGCGUGGGUGAAGAAGGCCUUCGGGUUGUAAAGCCCUUUUGUUGGGAAAGAAAAGCAGCAGGUUAAUACCCCGCUGUUCUGACGGUACCCAAAGAAUAAGCACCGGCUAACUUCGUG